UCCCUGGUGGCUCAGUGGAAAAGAAUCUGCCUGUAAGGCAGGACAUACAGGUUUGAUCCCUGGCUCGGGAA
Molecule: transfer RNA, 71 nt
Filed under: Bos taurus (domestic cattle)
Lineage: Eukaryota; Metazoa; Chordata; Mammalia; Artiodactyla; Bovidae
Also listed under: 3 other names
Rfam family: tRNA
About the family: Transfer RNA (tRNA) molecules are approximately 80 nucleotides in length. Their secondary structure includes four short double-helical elements and three loops (D, anti-codon, and T loops).
Source: Rfam by way of RNAcentral